GCUGAUAUGGCCGAGUCGUUAAGGCGAAUGAUUUGAACUCGUUCAAGUAUCAUUUGGGCAUUGCCCGCGUAGGUUCAAAUCCUGCUGUCAGCG
Phlebiopsis gigantea 11061_1 CR5-6 is the source of this 93-nucleotide transfer RNA. It matches the Rfam family "tRNA". Rfam says of the family: Transfer RNA (tRNA) molecules are approximately 80 nucleotides in length. Their secondary structure includes four short double-helical elements and three loops (D, anti-codon, and T loops). Further hydrogen bonds mediate the characteristic L-shaped molecular structure. tRNAs have two regions of fundamental functional importance: the anti-codon, which is responsible for specific mRNA codon recognition, and the 3' end, to which the tRNAs corresponding amino acid is attached (by aminoacyl-tRNA synthetases). tRNAs cope with the degeneracy of the genetic code in two manners: having more than one tRNA (with a specific anti-codon) for a particular amino acid; and 'wobble' base-pairing, i.e. permitting non-standard base-pairing at the 3rd anti-codon position. Lineage: Eukaryota; Fungi; Basidiomycota; Agaricomycetes; Polyporales; Phanerochaetaceae. The record is from Rfam.